RNAcentral lists this ribosomal RNA (235 nucleotides) under uncultured bacterium. RNAcentral describes it as "partial 16S rRNA". It matches the Rfam family "Bacterial small subunit ribosomal RNA", at positions 505 to 739 of the family's 1533-position model. The record is from RNAcentral.
GUGCCAGCCGCCGCGGUAAUACGAAGGGGGCUAGCGUUGUUCGGAAUCACUGGGCGUAAAGCGCACGUAGGCGGAUCUUUAAGUCAGGGGUGAAAUCCCGAGGCUCAACCUCGGAACUGCCUUUGAUACUGGAGGUCUCGAGUCCGGGAGAGGUGAGUGGAACUGGGAGUGCAGAGGUGAAAUUCGUAGAGAUUCGCAAGAACACCAGUGGCGAAGGCGGCUCACUGGCCCGAUA